GAUUGAUGAGAAGCUUGCUUCUCUGAAAGUUAGCGGCGGACGGGUGAGUAACACGUAGGCAACCUGCCUGUAAGACUGGGAUAACUACCGGAAACGGUAGCUAAUACCGGAUAGCUGGUUUUCUCGCAUGAGAGAAUCAUGAAAGACGGAGCAAUCUGUCACUUAUGGAUGGGCCUGCGGCGCAUUAGCUAGUUGGUGAGGUAAUGGCUCACCAAGGCGACGAUGCGUAGCCGACCUGAGAGGGUGAACGGCCACACUGGGACUGAGACACGGCCCAGACUCCUACGGGAGGCAGCAGUAGGGAAUCUUCCGCAAUGGACGAAAGUCUGACGGAGCAACGCCGCGUGAGUGAUGAAGGUUUUCGGAUCGUAAAGCUCUGUUGCCAGGGAAGAACGUCUUGGAGAGUAACUGCUCUAAGAGUGACGGUACCUGAGAAGAAAGCCCCGGCUAACUACGUGCCAGCAGCCGCGGUAAUACGUAGGGGGCAAGCGUUGUCCGGAAUUAUUGGGCGUAAAGCGCGCGCAGGCGGCUAUGUAAGUCUGGUGUAUAACCUCGGGGCUCAACCCCGGGUCGCACUGGAAACUGUGUAGCUUGAGUACAGAAGAGGAGAGUGGAAUUCCACGUGUAGCGGUGAAAUGCGUAGAUAUGUGGAGGAACACCAGUGGCGAAGGCGACUCUCUGGGCUGUAACUGACGCUGAGGCGCGAAAGCGUGGGGAGCAA
RNAcentral lists this ribosomal RNA (721 nucleotides) under Paenibacillus turicensis. RNAcentral describes it as "bacterial SSU rRNA". It matches the Rfam family "Bacterial small subunit ribosomal RNA", at positions 68 to 771 of the family's 1533-position model. Lineage: Bacteria; Bacillati; Bacillota; Bacilli; Caryophanales; Paenibacillaceae. The record is from RNAcentral.